UGUAAUCAGGUUUUGAACCCAAACCUUUAGUCUGAAACAAAAAUAACUUUGGUUCAAAAUUAAGAGUCAUUGUGUCAGUGGACCUCGAAUGUAGUCUGUACAUGAAGUAGAAGGUCUCAUUUGUUGUUUGCGGUCUUAGAGCGCCACCUACUGGUCCCAUCACUUCAUAAUAUGCGGCUUCACAUUUUCUUCUGGUCUUCAUAGUGGAUAAGAGAGUCGUAGUUCGCCCGUUGUUAAGGAGUAAGAUCGCUGGCAAACUACUAGUGCGUGCUCAUCUUUACCUGUGAGCCCAAUGACGUCGUUUCUUGGAUUUAGAUGUAGAUUUUGCGGUUGUAUUCUCACAAACCACACACGGCAUCACGACAUCAUGCUUUUUAUGUGUGAUUUAAUCUGUAUGUAAAUGUAUGAAAACAGACUUUUGUGUACAACAAAUAUGUUUAUGUACAGAUGUCCGAAAAACAACGUCAUUGGGCUCACAGGUAAACUGCAUCGAGUAAGAGACCAAUCGAUUCGGCGUAGUGUGCAUGCGUCCUCUCCAGCGCCCCCAUCUCAACUGUUGGCGGGCAGCAAGACGGCUGAAGCAGUAAGAGGAAGCUCGACUGCGUCUCUGGUACAGCUUUCAUUCUUCUCUCUGGUCUUUUCCAGGGUUCUUCCAGGAGGAAGUGAAGGGGACAAGACGUUUUGCACCAUAUACUCAUCCACGUCGACAGGAGAGGUAGAACUACGGCUUACGCUGGCUGGACUUGGGAAACGCUCAUAGGUGAAAACAUCACUCAUUCAGAGGUGCAUGUGUACCAGUCCCACUUGGUGAAAUCAGCAUCAGUCAUGGCAAGAGAGAUUCCCCUUCAGGUCCUGAUCAUGGAUCGUCUGAUAACCUCCUUCACCAAAACAUCUCUCAGAGCAGGGCAGAGUAGCAGAGCCAUGACGGUUCAGUGUUAGUGAAGGAGAUGCUGGUCCAGAGCCUGGAAGAGAGAAUGAAGACAACUCAAAUGGAACAAAUAACAAUGAGGAAAUGUAGCAGCCAGUAGCAGACACACAGCACUGUACAGUAACCGGAGAGCACGAACGCAGUCGCCCACUACCAG
Long non-coding RNA from Pygocentrus nattereri (red-bellied piranha), 1085 nucleotides. RefSeq lists it as uncharacterized. The record is from RefSeq and is a predicted model, not a curated record. NCBI's taxonomy places the organism in Eukaryota, Metazoa, Chordata, Actinopteri, Characiformes, Serrasalmidae. The transcript has 4 exons.